CAUAGCUUGUGUCUAAAAAGUUGCACAAAUUUACAAGUUCUAUAUUCUAUAUUCAUAAAAUGUAUAUAGUGUGCUUAUUUUCAUGAAAUAAAUUUGGGAAAGGUGGAUAAGAGGAGAGAAAAUGGGAGAGCGACGAUAACAUUAAGGGACAUGAUGCUGGCUUGAUGUUAGCGGGAUUGGCUCAAUGUGCAAUACCAAACGGAUUUACACGACAAAAUUUAAUGAUUGUGUUUGUAUUAAAAAAGGCCGCCACCAUGGUUGGCGCCAAGAAAAAUUUUAGAUUAUAAUAAAUUUAGGGAUGGCCAGAAACUGCAUCUAAAAUAGAAUUUGACUGGAGAAAAGCCAACGGCUCCAUAGUUUUAUCUAUUUUAAUGUUGACAUGAAAAGAAAGGGUCUUCCAAAGUUUUAGAAUUAUCUUAACAUUAUCAACUUUUUUGCAAAUGAAUGAAACCAAAAUAAGAUGGGGAGAAGAAAUAAAACACAGUUUGGCAAUAAAGCAUUGGCCAGUGCCCUAGUCCACACACGCUGCCUCAUGUACAUACGCUAAUAAGCAUGAACUUCAUGAACUAAUAAGUCUGGCCUGGGGUCUCAGAAAGCGGAGAAAGGGCUGAGGUCAUGGUGAGUUUAUCAACGACCAAUUUAAUUCAAUGAAAGCAGUAAAAUAUUUUGCUAUAAAAUGUUUAAAUGAUUUAAUAAAGUAAUUCUUAUUUUCGUACUUCCUUUCGGACCAUACUGGUCAAAGAGACGCACAUAAUCAUUUACUGUAGGAAAAGUAUCACCAGAGCAGUCCAAAAACAAAACUAAAUCGAAUUCAAAAUUUUCAAAAGCGUAAGCCAAAAAUAUUUCUUUUAGAUGAAGCGCUCGGCGGGCCGGUAAAAACUUGGUGCUGGCUGUUUUAGAGUUUUAACAGAUAUCUCACUGUUUGGUAGCAGCAUUAAUCCAGCUUAUAUGACUUUUCAGGGGUCCAGUGAGAAACUCAGAAGUAAACUUGCAGGAGCACUCUUUCAUUGAAAGGAUUUGUAGACACAAGGAGACAAUCACUAAGACAAUCACAUUGUUAUUGCACACCCUGCCCUGGUUGGGGACUAAUUGCAGGCUGAUUAAAUUCCCUAUAGGGCUCCCUCAGUAGAAUUCAAUCCCGAGUGACCCACACAUCCAAUGAAGACAUACCCUUUUCUAAGGGAAAUCUCCUUGGGGGUUAAACAUUUCUUCUCAUAAGGGAGAUGACAAUAGCCUAUCGUUUUAAAAAGAUGGAAUGUAUUUUGCUGGAGAGAAGCCCCUUCCCCCCACUAUUUAGGAUGUUUGAAAGGCCUAAGAUGACGAUAAAAACAGGGUUGACAGUGUCUUGCUAUUUAGUAAAGACUACAUAGCAUCUUUCAUUCGUUUCCAUUCAACUUUCGUCAACCGGGAUUUGCAGAUGUUUAAUUGUCAGACAGACAGUUACCUAAGGGGCAAUGGUCAACUGUACAGCGAUACUGAAAAAGGUUUUAAUCAGCAUUUGUUUCGAUUCUGCCGAACGAUGCAACAAACAAACAACUGCUUAACGAAUCUACUGUCUAGUCUUUUCUGUCUAGUUGUUUCAAAGACAGGAAGUAUUUCAGAACGAAAGUAUUGGGUGGCAAAAAUUGGAAGCCACAAGGACGCGUGCGGUUCGAUUCUGGCUCAUUUCUACGAUUGUAUUUCCACGCGACUUCUUCAAGGCACUCAAACACUGGUGCAACAAUCACAUACAGUUGAUAAGACGUCUCCUGCAUGCCCUCGGAAUCUGGACCGAAAAAGAAAUGAUGCUCAGAGAUUAUGGCUUCAUACUCGGAGAUUUCAAUCGCCGUUUCACUACAGGGAAGUUACAAGCCAAAUAGUUACUCAAUACUUGAAAUGGUAAAUUUAUUGAUUUGGAAAUCAUACUACAGAGGUAGUGCUCUUGUGAAACAAGAAAAAUAUAUCCCCGUUACAAGACAGGUUACAGUGACGUCUGGACCUUCAAGUUUCCUGUUUCGUUUUGGUGUCUAUAAAACUUAUUUCAUGUGGUAACGUGGUCUCCAAGAAUCUAGUUUCGACCUUGUUCCUUUACAAUGCGAUGCAAACCUUGUAUUGCGUCGUUUUUACCCAGUUGACAAUGGCUGUGAAGGAGACAAUAUCACAUUCCUCCUUCGCAAUAGACAAAAGGAUUUAGUGGCUUUAUAGUGGGGCACAAUCGUGAACGAUCAGUUGUCGAUUAACGUCCUAUGAGAGCACGUCAAGCAUAAGAAGAAACACGAAUUUCCUUGCUUGGAAAGGACAGGAAAUUUUAAUCAAAUGUUGGUUUAAGGAAGCGUUGUCAAAAUCUUGGUAAAGAAUUACUUUUCAAUUGUCUCUAGAAUAUUUUUGGAAGUGAUUUUGGCAAAAUCGGUAUGGAGAGAUGUGGAUGUGCAAAGAGGAAAUUGAAUAUGGGUGCAGAGCAAAUAUACCUCGUCAUAUUUUUAUUAGCAUCUUUGCUUCAAAUUGCAGAUAGCAGGCCAUUUUUCAAUUCACAUUUCUACAUGGACAGCCACCAUCUAAAAGGACAUAGACAUGCGCAUUACGGCAGAAAGACUCCUCACAACUCAGUCGAUCAUCCGAUAGAAUUACGGUUUGUUUCCUUUGAUGAUGGUGGAAAACCAGUUGAAAAUAAAAUCGAGUUCCAACCAGAAUCUAAUCAUCCCCUCAGCCAAAGGCAUGGUGACUUUUUUGUUAGCCAUUUAUGGAAUGAUGGAGUAAGAGAUAAGAACGAACACAGGACAAAUUUUGUUGUGCGCCGAGCAAGAAAACAGCGGAAUCGGAUGAAGACGAGGAAAAGAGUAUCGCAUGGACUGUUGGGACUGUGGGGUUAAACAGAUCUCAAAAUAUAUGCUAUAAUCAAAUUGGCAACAAUUAUGAGAAAUCGCGAUAAUCUUUCGUCCGUGAGACAAUGCAACAACGAUAGAAUUUUCAUAGAAGAUUUUAGAGAAAGCUGUUCCUCUUGCAUUUUCAAUUUUUAUGCACCUGCCUGAUAAUAUCAAAUGGCGGUUAGUAUAACGUAAAAGUUUUUUGAAUGAAUUGCCAGCACAUCUGAACGCAAAUGAAUGUAUUAUAGCUCUGUCUCCAUUUCAAUCGCCAUUUACCAAUUUGAAUAAAAGCCUCGCGACCAAGGCUAUUAGCGAUUACUUUCUAUUAGCAUUUCUGUCUCAGCUUUUUGAAAAGUUUUUCAAAUAGAUAUUGAUCGAUCCUCCCUUUUCACAGAAACAAAAUUUCCUCGAUUAACAGGCCCUCCCCCCUGUUUCCUAACAUUUAUAUUUACUGCUUCGAGUAGUUGACCUGUUUCAUGCGCUAAAAACGUAGUAGGUUUCAUAAUUAUUGCUUUGAGCAAGACAAAAAACCAAGCUAGACUGGUUAAUUUGUAUGUAAUUUUGUAUGGCAAUUAGUACGUCGUUUGCGAUUACACGGAAAAGAGAAUUGUUAGGCAUCAAAUUUGGCAGUGCAAGCAACCACACGUCGUGUAUUGGCAAGUAAUUUCAAGUGAUUUCGCGGUAACUUUUCAACCUCAGCGUAACUUCAUUAAUAGUGAGCAUAAAAGACCAGUGCAUGCCUUGCAGAAAAACCCAUCAAAUGAUCAAUGUCCUUUAUACCUUGUGAUCAGUGUCAAAAACACAUACAAGCAGCAGCUGCUUCUUUAGCAUAGAAUGUUCAAAUGGACACGCCCUAUUUACCAAGGGCGUGUCCAUUUGAUUUUUCCUACCCAUAAGUUACUUACUAUCUCUAGGUCCUGUCGUUGCUUUUGAUGUUACCUAUUUGGAGCAGGUCUCCUCGGUAACAAAACCAGCGACCAUUUCUGCAAUGCAAAGAAUGCAGCAGAUCUGAAUACGACAGGAUAUGCUUGCAACGCUAAGAAAAUUUUCUGUCACGUUUUGCUUAAUGAUCGAAAACGUAAAUCAAUUAGUGUUUGUAAUCAUGUAUAUUGUUAGAAGCCGAAGAAUGUAUGUAUUAUAUGUAAUCUGAAUAUAGGGUGAUAGAGAGUAGCUAAUGAAAUGUUCAACCAAAAAGGAA
Non-coding RNA from Rhopilema esculentum, 4041 nucleotides. The record is from RefSeq and is a predicted model, not a curated record. Lineage: Eukaryota; Metazoa; Cnidaria; Scyphozoa; Rhizostomeae; Rhizostomatidae.